RNAcentral lists this ribosomal RNA (243 nucleotides) under Proteus mirabilis. RNAcentral's name for it is "partial 23S ribosomal RNA". It matches the Rfam family "Bacterial large subunit ribosomal RNA", at positions 1657 to 1883 of the family's 2925-position model. The record is from RNAcentral. Lineage: Bacteria; Pseudomonadati; Pseudomonadota; Gammaproteobacteria; Enterobacterales; Morganellaceae.
ACACAGGUGGUCAGGUAGAGAAUACUCAGGCGCUUGAGAGAACUCGGGUGAAGGAACUAGGCAAAAUGGUGCCGUAACUUCGGGAGAAGGCACGCUGGCGGUAGGUAAAGUCCCUCGCGGACGGCGCUGAAGCCAGUCGAAGAUACCAGCUGGCUGCAACUGUUUAUUAAAAACACAGCACUGUGCAAACACGAAAGUGGACGUAUACGGUGUGACGCCUGCCCGGUGCUGGAAGGUUAAUUG